This 468-nucleotide ribosomal RNA is filed under the name uncultured bacterium. RNAcentral's name for it is "partial 16S ribosomal RNA". It matches the Rfam family "Bacterial small subunit ribosomal RNA", at positions 28 to 507 of the family's 1533-position model. The record is from RNAcentral.
GGCGAACGCUGGCGGCGUGCUUAACACAUGCAAGUCGAACGGAAAGGCCCUGCUUUUGUGGGGUGCUCGAGUGGCGAACGGGUGAGUAACACGUGAGUAACCUGCCCUUGACUUUGGGAUAACUUCAGGAAACUGGGGCUAAUACCGGAUAGGAGCUCCUGCUGCAUGGUGGGGGUUGGAAAGGUUCGGCGGUUGGGGAUGGACUCGCGGCUUAUCAGCUUGUUGGUGGGGUCGUGGCUUACCACGGCGUUGACGGGUAGCCGGCCUGAGAGGGUGACCGGCCACAUUGGGACUGAGAUACGGCCCAGAGUCGUACGGGAGGCAGCAGUGGGGAAUAUUGCACGAUGGGCGGAAGCCUGAUGCAGCAACGCCGCGUGCGGGAUGACGGCCUUCGGGUUGUAAACCGCUUUCGCCUGUGACGAAGCGUGAGUGACGGUAAUGUGUAAAGAAGCACCGGCUAACUACGUG